Molecule: ribosomal RNA, 466 nt
Filed under: Vreelandella stevensii
Lineage: Bacteria; Pseudomonadati; Pseudomonadota; Gammaproteobacteria; Oceanospirillales; Halomonadaceae
Description: partial 16S ribosomal RNA
Rfam family: Bacterial small subunit ribosomal RNA
Source: RNAcentral
CCUACGGGUGGCAGCAGUGGGGAAUAUUGGACAAUGGGGGGAACCCUGAUCCAGCCAUGCCGCGUGUGUGAAGAAGGCCCUCGGGUUGUAAAGCACUUUCAGUGAGGAAGAACGCCUGGUGGUUAAUACCCAUCAGGAAAGACAUCACUCACAGAAGAAGCACCGGCUAACUCCGUGCCAGCAGCCGCGGUAAUACGGAGGGUGCGAGCGUUAAUCGGAAUUACUGGGCGUAAAGCGCGCGUAGGUGGCUUGAUAAGCCGGUUGUGAAAGCCCCGGGCUCAACCUGGGAACGGCAUCCGGAACUGUCAAGCUAGAGUGCAGGAGAGGAAGGUAGAAUUCCCGGUGGAGCGGUGAAAUGCGUAGAGAUCGGGAGGAAUACCAGGGGCGAAGGCGGCCUUCUGGACUGACACUGACACUGAGGUGCGAAAGCGUGGGUAGCAAACAGGAUUAGAUACCCCGGGUAGUC